Molecule: ribosomal RNA, 1374 nt
Filed under: metagenome
Description: bacterial LSU rRNA
Rfam family: Bacterial large subunit ribosomal RNA
Source: RNAcentral
AAAAUCCGCUGUAACAAUUCUGAGGCGCGAUGGGGAAGGUCAUAUAGACCGAAGUACAUGAUUCCAUGCUUCCAAGAAAAGCAUCUAGAGAGAGAAGUAGUGCCCGUACCGCAAACCGACACAGGUAGAUGAGGAGAGAAUCCUAAGGCCGGCGGAAGAAUUGCAGUUAAGGAACUAGGCAAAUUGACCCCGUAAGUUCGCGAGAAGGGGUGCCUGCGAGAGCAGGCCGCAGAGAAUAGGCCCAAGCAACUGUUUAGCAAAAACACAGGUCUCUGCUAAAGCGCAAGCUGAUGUAUAGGGGCUGACGCCUGCCCGGUGCUGGAAGGUUAAGGGGAACACUUAGCGCAAGCGAAGGUGUGAACUUAAGCCCCAGUAAACGGCGGCCGUAACAAUAACGGUCCUAAGGUAGCGAAAUUCCUUGUCAGGUAAGUUCUGACCCGCACGAAUGGCGUAAUGACUUGGGCACUGUCUCAACUGCAAAUCCGGCGAAGUUGUAGUGCGAGUGAAGAUGCUCGCUACCCGCGAUUGGACGGAAAGACCCCGUAGAGCUUUACUGCAGCUUAGCAUUGAAUUCCGGUAUUGUCUGUACAGGAUAGGUGGGAGACUGGGAAACUAGGGCGUCAGCCUUAGUGGAGUCAACCUUGGGAUACCACCCUGACAGUACUGGGGUUCUAACAGGACGCCAUGAAUCUGGUGACUGGACAUUGUUAGGUGGGCAGUUUGACUGGGGCGGUCGCCUCCUAAAAAGUAACGGAGGCGCCCAAAGGUUCCCUCAGAACGGUCGGAAAUCGUUCGUAGAGUGCAAAGGCAGAAGGGAGCCUGACUGCGAGACCUACAAGUCGAGCAGGGACGAAAGUCGGGCUUAGUGAUCCGGUGGUACCUCGUGGGAGGGCCAUCGCUCAACGGAUAAAAGCUACCUCGGGGAUAACAGGCUGAUCUCCCCCAAGAGUCCACAUCGACGGGGAGGUUUGGCACCUCGAUGUCGGCUCGUCGCAUCCUGGGGCUGUAGUAGGUCCCAAGGGUUGGGCUGUUCGCCCAUUAAAGCGGCACGCGAGCUGGGUUCAGAACGUCGUGAGACAGUUCGGUCCCUAUCCGUCGCGGGCGUAGGAAAUUUGAGAGGAGCUGUCCUUAGUACGAGAGGACCGGGAUGGACUGACCUCUGGUGCACCAGUUGUUCCGCCAGGAGCACGGCUGGGUAGCUAAGUCGGGAAGGGAUAAACGCUGAAAGCAUCUAAGCGUGAAGCCUCCCUCAAGAUGAGAUUUCCCAUAGCAUAAGCUAGUAAGACCCCUUGAAGAACACAAGGUUGAUAGGUCAGAGGUGUAAGUGCGGUAACGUAUGUAGCUGACUGAUACUAAUAGGUCGAGGGCUUGACC